GACGAACGCUGGCGGCGUGCUUAACGCAUGCAAGUCGAACGGAAAGGCCCUGCUUUUGUGGGGUGCUCGAGUGGCGAACGGGUGAGUAACACGUGAGUAACCUGCCCUUGACUUUGGGAUAACUUCAGGAAACUGGGGCUAAUACCGGAUAGGAGCUCCUGCUGCAUGGUGGGGGUUGGAAAGUUUCGGCGGUUGGGGAUGGACUCGCGGCUUAUCAGCUUGUUGGUGGGGUAGUGGCUUACCAAGGCUUUGACGGGUAGCCGGCCUGAGAGGGUGACCGGCCACAUUGGGACUGAGAUACGGCCCAGACUCCUACGGGAGGCAGCAGUGGGGAAUAUUGCACAAUGGGCGGAAGCCUGAUGCAGCAACGCCGCGUGCGGGAUGACGGCCUUCGGGUUGUAAACCGCUUUCGCCUGUGACGAAGCGUGAGUGACGGCAAUGGGUAAAGAAGCACCGGCUAACUACGUG
RNAcentral lists this ribosomal RNA (468 nucleotides) under uncultured bacterium. RNAcentral's name for it is "partial 16S ribosomal RNA". It matches the Rfam family "Bacterial small subunit ribosomal RNA", at positions 28 to 507 of the family's 1533-position model. The record is from RNAcentral.